GCUCCGGUGGCCUAAUGGUUAGAGCGUCCGCCUUGGAUGCGGGAGGUCGUGGGUUCGAUCCCCGGUCGAGUCA
Potamilus streckersoni is the source of this 73-nucleotide non-coding RNA. NCBI's taxonomy places the organism in Eukaryota, Metazoa, Mollusca, Bivalvia, Unionida, Unionidae. The record is from the annotation of a GenBank genome assembly.